GAGGGUGUAGCUCAGUGGUAAAGCGUCUGCUUAGCAUGCACAAGGUCCUGGGUUCAAUCCCCAAGUACCACCA
RNAcentral lists this transfer RNA (73 nucleotides) under Camelus bactrianus (Bactrian camel). It matches the Rfam family "tRNA". Rfam says of the family: Transfer RNA (tRNA) molecules are approximately 80 nucleotides in length. Lineage: Eukaryota; Metazoa; Chordata; Mammalia; Artiodactyla; Camelidae. The record is from Rfam by way of RNAcentral. RNAcentral also lists the same sequence under 2 other names.